ACUUCCUGUCCUGCCCUCUGAUGCGCCAGCUCUGCCAGUACCAGGUGCUCUGGCACGUGGGCUGGUGGGAGGCAAGGGCAGUGGGAGACUGGGGCCCAGAGUACAUGACUCUGCCUGUGGUAGGAAGCCUUGGGUAUCUCCCCAGUCCACCCUUGGGCCCGGUGUUGUUCCCAGCAUGCCUGAGGCUUCCCUUGGCAGGUUUCCUGUCUUUAACACAAAAAGCAGCUACCUUGGAGCAGGGACAGGGGCAAUGGCAGGGACAGGUCCCCAUCGUAGAGGGUGAACGAAGGAGGUCUCUGUCACCCCUCUCUGCAUACACGAGUGCAUGUGUGUGUAUGGUGUGUAUGUGUGUGCACACCUGGGUUUCUUCUCCGCUG
This 377-nucleotide long non-coding RNA is filed under the name Rattus norvegicus (Norway rat). RNAcentral describes it as "long non-coding RNA NONRATT007323". The record is from RNAcentral. Lineage: Eukaryota; Metazoa; Chordata; Mammalia; Rodentia; Muridae.